UGGGGGAUAUUGCACAAUGGGCGAAAGCCUGAUGCAGCGACGCCGCGUGGGGGAUGAAGGCUUUCGGGUUGUAAACCUCUUUCGCUAUCGAACAAGGCCCGCUUAGGGUGGGUUGAGGGUAGGUGGAGAAGAAGCGCCGGCUAACUACGUGCCAGCAGCCGCGGUAAUACGUAGGGCGCGAGCGUUGACCGGAAUUAUUGGGCGUAAAGGGCUUGUAGGCGGCUUGUUGCGCCUGCUGUGAAAACGCGGGGCUUAACUUCGCGCGUGCAGUGGGUACGGGCAGGCUUGAGUGUGGUAGGGGUGACUGGAAUUCCAGGUGUAGCGGUGGAAUGCGCAGAUAUCUGGAGGAACACCGAUGGCGAAGGCAGGUCACUGGGCCAUUACUGACGCUGAGGAGCGAAAGCAUGGGUAGCGAACAGG
RNAcentral lists this ribosomal RNA (420 nucleotides) under bacterium. RNAcentral's name for it is "partial 16S ribosomal RNA". It matches the Rfam family "Bacterial small subunit ribosomal RNA", at positions 355 to 776 of the family's 1533-position model. The record is from RNAcentral.